CUCUUCCGCACUGAGCAAACUGGAAGGGGUGGAGAGUGGACCUGGAAGGAAAAACAGACAGCUCUCGAGUGCUAUCUCCUGUGUCAUACAGGGCUUUCUGGAUACAAGAAGCAGAUCCACUCAUGGUCACCCCCCCGGGAGAAGCCAGGGAUGGGACGGAACCUCAAAGUCCUCAUCUGGACCAUGGAAGACCAUGCUGUUAUUCUCACCUUCUGUCCACUAUCCAACAGGACAUUUCAAAAUUCAUUGUCAAGUAGAAUCACCCGAGGAACUUGUUAAAAUGUUGGUUUGAACCCAGUAAGUCUUGUGUGGAGCUUGAGAUUCUGUGUUUCUAACGAGUUCCCAGCUGAUCCUGAUGCUCUAUGGACCUCACUUUCAGUUGCAAAGUUCCACGGUAUUAGACCAAAUACCUUUAGAGCUAACCUGUUGAUUUACUGAACUGGCUAAUGGACAUAUCACUUCCUUUCUCUGGCUCUCUUUUUCCUAUAAGCCAGAUGAGGAAAUUUGUUGACAAAAAUUUUGCCAAGUUCGACAAGUGCUUGGUUUCAGUACUG
Molecule: long non-coding RNA, 554 nt
Filed under: Felis catus (domestic cat)
Lineage: Eukaryota; Metazoa; Chordata; Mammalia; Carnivora; Felidae
Description: lncRNA (ENSFCAG00000045173.2)
Source: RNAcentral